UUGUGAUUUACAAUAUAAACUAGAGAAGCUUGGUACGGUGAAGACAAUGACACAAUAAACAGACAUAUUGACAUACCUGUCAUAUAUUCUCAAC
Long non-coding RNA from Xenia sp. Carnegie-2017, 94 nucleotides. RefSeq lists it as uncharacterized. The transcript has 4 exons. The record is from RefSeq and is a predicted model, not a curated record. NCBI's taxonomy places the organism in Eukaryota, Metazoa, Cnidaria, Anthozoa, Malacalcyonacea, Xeniidae.